Molecule: small RNA, 30 nt
Filed under: Arabidopsis thaliana (thale cress)
Lineage: Eukaryota; Viridiplantae; Streptophyta; Magnoliopsida; Brassicales; Brassicaceae
Description: ATSL001990
Source: RNAcentral
AAGCGCGGGUAAGUUUAUAAUCAUUGCCAC